GAUGAACGCUGGCGGCGUGCCUAAUACAUGCAAGUCGAGCGAACGGACGAGAAGCUUGCUUUUCUGAUGUUAGCGGCGGACGGGUGAGUAACACGUGGAUAACCUACCUAUAAGACUGGGAUAACUUCGGGAAGCCGGAGCUAAUACCGGAUAAUAUUUUGAACCGCAUGGUUCAAAAGUGAAAGACGGUCUUGCUGUCACUUAUAGAUGGAUCCGCGCUGCAUUAGCUAGUUGGUAAGGUAACGGCUUACCAAGGCAACGAUGCAUAGCCGACCUGAGAGGGGGAUCGGCCACACUGGAACUGAGACACGGUCCAGACUCCUACGGGAGGCAGCAGUAGGGAAUCUUCCGCAAUGGGCGAAAGCCUGACGGAGCAACGCCGCGUGAGUGAUGAAGGUCUUCGGAUCGUAAAACUCUGUUAUUAGGGAAGAACAUAUGUGUAAGUAACUGUGCACAUCUUGACGGUACCUAAUCAGAAAGCCACGGCUAACUACGUG
Molecule: ribosomal RNA, 497 nt
Filed under: uncultured bacterium
Lineage: Bacteria
Description: partial 16S ribosomal RNA
Rfam family: Bacterial small subunit ribosomal RNA
Source: RNAcentral